AUUGAACGCUGGCGGCAUGCUUUACACAUGCAAGUCGAACGGUAACAGGCCUUCGGGUGCUGACGAGUGGCGAACGGGUGAGUAAUGCAUCGGAACGUACCCAGAGGUGGGGGAUAACGCAGCGAAAGCUGUGCUAAUACCGCAUGUGAUCUGAGGAUGAAAGCGGGGGACCGAGCAGCAAUGUUUGGCCUCGCGCCUUUGGAGCGGCCGAUGUCGGAUUAGCUAGUUGGUGGGGUAAAGGCCUACCAAGGCGACGAUCCGUAGCUGGUCUGAGAGGACGACCAGCCACACUGGGACUGAGACACGGCCCAGACUCCUACGGGAGGCAGCAGUGGGGAAUUUUGGACAAUGGGCCCAAGCCUGAUCCAGCAAUGCCGCGUGCGGGAAGAAGGCCUUCGGGUUGUAAACCGCUUUUGGCAGGAACGAAACGGUGUCCGCUAAUACCGGGCGCUAAUGACGGUACCUGCAGAAUAAGCACCGGCUAACUACGUG
This 492-nucleotide ribosomal RNA is filed under the name uncultured bacterium. RNAcentral's name for it is "partial 16S ribosomal RNA". It matches the Rfam family "Bacterial small subunit ribosomal RNA", at positions 29 to 507 of the family's 1533-position model. The record is from RNAcentral.